This 514-nucleotide ribosomal RNA is filed under the name Microgaster campestris. RNAcentral describes it as "12S ribosomal RNA". Lineage: Eukaryota; Metazoa; Arthropoda; Insecta; Hymenoptera; Braconidae. The record is from RNAcentral.
UUAGGAUUAGAUACCCUAUUAUUAAAACAUAAUCUAAAAUAUUAAGAUACUAAAUAUUAAUUUAUUAAAUUUAAAAAAACUGACGGUAUUUUUUUAUUAGAUGAACUUGAAAUUUAAUUUGAUAAUCCACAAUUUAACCUACUAAUUUAAAAUUUUUAUAUAUUACUGUUUAAAUUUAAUUUUAUAAUUUAAUAUUUUAUAUUAUUUUUAUAAUUAAAUUCAAGUCUAAAUAUAAAUAUAAAUUAGAAAAAUUUGAGUUACUUUAAAAUUUAAUUAAUAUUUUUAAUUAAUUAUUAAUAAUAAUAUUAUAUUUAAUAUUUAAAAAUUUUUAAAUUUAGAAUUUAAUAAUAAAAAUUUUUAUAUAAAAAAUUUAAAAUUUAAAAUAAAAUAUGUACAUAUCGCCCGUCAUUUUUAUAUAAUUUAAUUUAUUUUAUAUUAAUAAAAUAUUUAAUAAAAAUAAUUUUAUAUAAAACAAGUCGUAACAAAGUAAUCUUACUGGAAAGUAAAAUUAGAA